UCACCGCAUCCAUCACAACGGAUCGUCCGGCACGUACCUGCCGGUGAAGGAGAAAAUAA
Microbacterium sp. CH12i is the source of this 59-nucleotide regulatory RNA element. It matches the Rfam family "msiK RNA". NCBI's taxonomy places the organism in Bacteria, Bacillati, Actinomycetota, Actinomycetes, Micrococcales, Microbacteriaceae. The record is from Rfam.